RNAcentral lists this transfer RNA (74 nucleotides) under Mycobacteroides abscessus subsp. abscessus. RNAcentral describes it as "tRNA-Trp(cca)". It matches the Rfam family "tRNA". Rfam says of the family: Transfer RNA (tRNA) molecules are approximately 80 nucleotides in length. The record is from RNAcentral. Lineage: Bacteria; Bacillati; Actinomycetota; Actinomycetes; Mycobacteriales; Mycobacteriaceae.
AGCUCGGUAGCUCAAUUGGUAGAGCGCUGGUCUCCAAAGCCAGUGGUUCCGUGUUCGAGUCACGGCCGGGUUGC